This 631-nucleotide ribosomal RNA is filed under the name Cellulosimicrobium sp. Its description in RNAcentral is "bacterial SSU rRNA". It matches the Rfam family "Bacterial small subunit ribosomal RNA", at positions 217 to 858 of the family's 1533-position model. The record is from RNAcentral. Lineage: Bacteria; Bacillati; Actinomycetota; Actinomycetes; Micrococcales; Promicromonosporaceae.
GGUGAGGGAUGGGCUCGCGGCCUAUCAGCUUGUUGGUGGGGUAAUGGCCUACCAAGGCGACGACGGGUAGCCGGCCUGAGAGGGCGACCGGCCACACUGGGACUGAGACACGGCCCAGACUCCUACGGGAGGCAGCAGUGGGGAAUAUUGCACAAUGGGCGAAAGCCUGAUGCAGCGACGCCGCGUGGGGGAUGACGGCCUUCGGGUUGUAAACCUCUUUCAGUAGGGAAGAAGCGAAAGUGACGGUACCUGCAGAAGAAGCGCCGGCUAACUACGUGCCAGCAGCCGCGGUAAUACGUAGGGCGCAAGCGUUGUCCGGAAUUAUUGGGCGUAAAGAGCUUGUAGGCGGUUUGUCGCGUCUGGUGUGAAAACCCAUCGCUUAACGGUGGGCUUGCAUCGGGUACGGGCAGACUAGAGUGCGGUAGGGGAGAUUGGAAUUCCUGGUGUAGCGGUGGAAUGCGCAGAUAUCAGGAGGAACACCGAUGGCGAAGGCAGAUCUCUGGGCCGUAACUGACGCUGAGAAGCGAAAGCAUGGGGAGCGAACAGGAUUAGAUACCCUGGUAGUCCAUGCCGUAAACGUUGGGCACUAGGUGUGGGGAACAUUCCACGUUUUCCGCGCCGUAGCUAACGC